UUCGGGGGUUGAUCCUGCCGGAGGCUACUGCUAUCGGGGUCCGACUAAGCCAUGCGAGUUGAGAGGGGUAAGCCCUCGGCAUAUUGCUCAGUAACACGCGGAUAACCUGCCCUUGGGUCUGGGAUAACCCCGGGAAACUGGGACUAAUACCGGAUAGAUCAAAGAAACUGGAAUGUUCUCUGGUCUAAAACUCUGGUGCCCAAGGAUGGGUCUGCGGCCUAUCAGGUAGUAGUGGGUGUAACGUACCUACUAGCCUACGACGGGUAAGGGUUGUGAGAGCAAGAGCCCUGAGAUGGAUUCUGAGACAUGAAUCCAGGCCCUACGGGGUGCAGCAGGCGCGAAAACUUUACACUGCGGGAAACCGCGAUAAGGGGACCCCGAGUGCCAGCACCUAGUGCUGGCUGUCCAGCUGUCCAAAUAACAGUUGUUAGCAAGGGCCGGGCAAGACCGGUGCCAGCCGCCGCGGUAACACCGGCGGCCCGAGUGGUAGCCGUUAUUAUUGGGUUUAAAGGGUCCGUAGCCGGCCUAUUAAGUCUCUUGGGAAAUCUGGCGACUUAAUCGUCAGGCGUCCAAGAGAUACUGGUAGGCUUGGGACCGGGAGAGGUGGGAGGUACUCCAGGGGUAGGGGUGAAAUCUCGUAAUCCUUGGGGGACCACCGAUGGCGAAGGCAUCCCACCAGAACGGGUCCGACGGUGAGGGACGAAAGCUGGGGGCACGAACCGGAUUAGAUACCCGGGUAGUCCCAGCUGUAAACGAUGCUCGCUAGGUGUCAGGUGCGGUGCGACCGCAUCUGGUGCCGCAGUGAAAACUUGAAGCGAGUCACCUGGGAAGUACGGUCGCAAGGCUGAAACUUAAAGGAAUUGGCGGGGGAGCACUACAACGGGUGGAGCCUGCGGUUCAAUUGGAUUCAACGCCGGG
Molecule: ribosomal RNA, 918 nt
Filed under: uncultured archaeon
Lineage: Archaea
Description: bacterial SSU rRNA
Rfam family: Archaeal small subunit ribosomal RNA
Source: RNAcentral